CUACGGGUCGCAGCAGUGGGGAAUAUUGCACAAUGGGCGCAAGCCUGAUGCAGCCAUGCCGCGUGUAUGAAGAAGGCCUUCGGGUUGUAAAGUACUUUCAGCGGGGAGGAAGGGAGUAAAGUUAAUACCUUUGCUCAUUGACGUUACCCGCAGAAGAAGCACCGGCUAACUCCGUGCCAGCAGCCGCGGUAAUACGGAGGGUGCAAGCGUUAAUCGGAAUUACUGGGCGUAAAGCGCAGGCAGGCGGUUUGUUAAGUCAGAUGUGAAAUCCCCGGGCUCAACCUGGGAACUGCAUCUGAUACUGGCAAGCUUGAGUCUCGUAGAGGGGGGUAGAAUUCCAGGUGUAGCGGUGAAAUGCGUAGAGAUCUGGAGGAAUACCGGUGGCGAAGGUGGCCCCCUGGACGAAGACUGACGCUCAGGUGCGAAAGCGUGGGGAGCAAACAGGAUUAGAUACCCGCGUAGUC
This 464-nucleotide ribosomal RNA is filed under the name uncultured bacterium. Its description in RNAcentral is "partial 16S ribosomal RNA". It matches the Rfam family "Bacterial small subunit ribosomal RNA", at positions 339 to 795 of the family's 1533-position model. The record is from RNAcentral.